RNAcentral lists this ribosomal RNA (613 nucleotides) under Coprinellus cf. radians. RNAcentral describes it as "partial large subunit ribosomal RNA". It matches the Rfam family "Eukaryotic large subunit ribosomal RNA", at positions 32 to 629 of the family's 3401-position model. The record is from RNAcentral. Lineage: Eukaryota; Fungi; Basidiomycota; Agaricomycetes; Agaricales; Psathyrellaceae.
ACUUAAGCAUAUCAAUAAGCGGAGGAAAAGAAACUAACAAGGAUUCCCCUAGUAACUGCGAGUGAAGCGGGAAAAGCUCAAAUUUAAAAUCUGGCGGUCCUUGGCCGUCCGAGUUGUAAUCUAGAGAAGUGUUACCCGCGUCGGACCGUGUACAAGUCUCCUGGAAUGGAGCGUCAUAGAGGGUGAGAAUCCCGUCUUUGACACGGACUACCGAGGCUUUGUGGUGCGCUCUCAAAGAGUCGAGUUGUUUGGGAAUGCAGCUCAAAAUGGGUGGUAAAUUCCAUCUAAAGCUAAAUAUUGGCGAGAGACCGAUAGCGAACAAGUACCGUGAGGGAAAGAUGAAAAGAACUUUGGAAAGAGAGUUAAACAGUACGUGAAAUUGCUGAAAGGGAAACGCUUGAAGUCAGUCGCGUCCUCCGGGAAUCAGCCUUCCUUCUGGUUGGUGUACUUCCUGGUGGACGGGCCAGCAUCAGUUUUGACCGGUGGAAAAAGUUCGAGGGAAUGUGGCACCUCCGGGUGUGUUAUAGCCCUCGUUCGUAUACAUCGGUUGGGACUGAGGAACUCAGCACGCCGCAAGGCCGGGAUUCGUCCACGUUCGUGCUUAGGAUGCUGG